GCUACAGGGAGGGGCGGGGGAGUUCAUUUUAAAAUCAAGCCUCAAGCUGGCAAGGCAGCUGGUUACAUGUUCUCUCCCAGGAGCAAAGUGGAAGUGAAGCAUCCUGCCCCCACCCUAUUACAGAUUCCAGCUGCAAGUUUUGAGUUUUCCUGAAGUCAAAUGAAGCGAACUGAAUUACUCUGAAGUAAACAAAGUAAAGACUGCAUCUUCAAGAGGCUGUUGUUGGGUCACAGCCAUCUCGCUGUUGUGUGAACACAAGACUAAUUUAUACUACUGCAUUUGGCAACAGAGCAUGGCUGGAAGUAACUUACCAAAGGGUACUGAAAUAAUAAGGAUAUGCUCCUCAUGAAUGCACAGACAUAACAGACCAGAUCAGUAUGUAAUAUAUACAAAAAGAUGUAUUCACUACAAGAGAGAUACAGGAAGCACGGCUCUUAGGAGAGAGAUAUCUGAA
This is a long non-coding RNA of Hemicordylus capensis (graceful crag lizard), 454 nucleotides long. RefSeq lists it as uncharacterized. NCBI's taxonomy places the organism in Eukaryota, Metazoa, Chordata, Lepidosauria, Squamata, Cordylidae. The transcript has 3 exons. The record is from RefSeq and is a predicted model, not a curated record.